RNAcentral lists this small RNA (890 nucleotides) under Pongo abelii (Sumatran orangutan). Its description in RNAcentral is "retained intron". The record is from RNAcentral. Lineage: Eukaryota; Metazoa; Chordata; Mammalia; Primates; Hominidae.
GGAAAGGAUCUGCUACUACAGCUGGAGGACGAGACGCUAAAGCUAGUGGAGCCACAGAGCCAGGCACUGCUGCACGCCCAACCCAUCAUCAGCAUCCGCGUGUGGGGCGUCGGGCGGGACAGUGGAAGAGAGAGGUACUAUGCCUGUUUUCCCCCUCCUACACCUGGACCAGAUGCCUGGAAGCACCCAAGCUCCCCUCUUCUGCCCUGCCCCUUCCCACCCGCUAUGCACCACCAUUAGCCUCCACCUCAGCAUGCUUGCCUGUCUACCCUCCCUCCAGAAGGCAGCACCUAUGGGGGACCAGCUGUGGGCAGAAGCCCUGGAGGAGCUGUGACGGGCAGGGAGGACGUGGGUGGGGUGGGGACCAGGCUCGGCACUGGAUGGUACUGGGAGACACUGAGGUGCCCCUCCCCCAACAGGGACUUUGCCUACGUAGCUCGUGAUAAGCUGACCCAGAUGCUCAAGUGCCACGUGUUUCGCUGUGAGGCACCUGCCAAGAACAUCGCCACCAGCCUGCAUGAGAUCUGCUCUAAGAUCAUGGCCGAACGGCGUAAUGCCCGCUGCUUGGUAAAUGGACUCUCCCUGGACCACUCUAAACUUGUGGAUGUCCCUUUCCAAGGUCAGUGUCAAAACCUCUCCAGGUCCAGCUCAGCUUUGUUGGCAAAGGUGGGUGACCCAAGGAAAGGCAUGAGCUCCUGGACAGCGCUGAUAGAAAAAUGAACACAUGAAGACUGAAUACUCCAAUACGUGGAGGGACUCCAGUUAAAGGGAGGCAGGGGAUGAGAAGGAAGUAGGGCCUCGGCUGGGCAAGUGUCCAGCUUAUGCCCUGCUGGUGGGGCUGGGGGUGAGCAAGGUCUGCCACCAUGAUCAACCUUCUCUUCUUUCCCAUA